RNAcentral lists this ribosomal RNA (578 nucleotides) under uncultured bacterium. RNAcentral's name for it is "bacterial SSU rRNA". It matches the Rfam family "Bacterial small subunit ribosomal RNA", at positions 338 to 916 of the family's 1533-position model. The record is from RNAcentral.
CCUACGGGAGGCAGCAGUAAGGAAUAUUGGUCAAUGGGCGCAAGCCUGAACCAGCCAUGCCGCGUGAAGGAUGACGGCCCUAUGGGUUGUAAACUUCUUUUGUACGGGAAUAAACCCAGGUACGUGUACCUGGCUGAAUGUACCGUAAGGAUAAGGAUCGGCUAACUCCGUGCCAGCAGCCGCGGUAAUACGGAGGAUCCAAGCGUUAUCCGGAUUCAUUGGGUUUAAAGGGUGCGUAGGCGGACUUAUAAGUCAGUGGUGAAAUCCUGCAGCUUAACUGCAGAACUGCCAUUGAUACUGUAAGUCUUGAGUGUGUUUGAAGUGGGCGGAAUGUGUCAUGUAGCGGUGAAAUGCUUAGAUAUGACACAGAACACCGAUUGCGUAGGCAGCUCACUAAACCACAACUGACGCUGAGGCACGACAGCGUGGGGAUCAAACAGGAUUAGAUACCCUGGUAGUCCACGCCGUAAACCUAUGAUUACUCGAUGUUGGCGAUAUACAGUCAGCGUCUAAGCUAAAGCGUUAAGUAAUCCACCUGGGGAGUUACGGUGCAAGAUUGAACUUCAAGGAAUUGACGG